RNAcentral lists this small RNA (126 nucleotides) under Marmota monax (woodchuck). The record is from RNAcentral. Lineage: Eukaryota; Metazoa; Chordata; Mammalia; Rodentia; Sciuridae.
GCUGGAUGUAGUGGCCCACGCCUGUAAUCCUAGUGGCUCAGGAGGCUGAGACAGGAGGAUCGCAUGUUCAAAACCAGCCUCAGCAAAAAGUGAGGCGCUAAGCAACUCAGUGAGACACUGUCUCUA